Molecule: non-coding RNA, 29 nt
Filed under: Rattus norvegicus (Norway rat)
Lineage: Eukaryota; Metazoa; Chordata; Mammalia; Rodentia; Muridae
Source: RNAcentral
UNCAAUGCUAGAAUGUCCUCUACCGUUGA